CAGGCCUAACACAUGCAAGUCGAGCGGUAGAUUGAUAACGGAAGCUUCGGUGGAAGGUAUUGAUUGAGAGCGGCGAACGGGUGAGUAACACGUUGGUAUCUGCCCCCAAGUCAGGGAUAGCCAUUGGAAACGAUGAUUAAUACCGGAUAGUCUCUUUGGAGUAAAAAUUUAUUGCUUGGGGAAGAGCCUGCGUCCUAUCAGCUAGUUGGUAGUGUAAUAGACUACCAAGGCAAUGACGGGUAGCUGGUCUGAGAGGAUGAUCAGCCACAAUGGAACUGAGACACGGUCCAUACUCCUACGGGAGGCAGCAGUGAGGAAUCUUCCACAAUGGACGAAAGUCUGAUGGAGCGACACCGCGUGAAGGAUGAAGGCCUAACGGUUGUAAACUUCUUUUCUGAAGGAGCAUAAUGAGAGUACUUCAGGAAUAAGGGACGGCUAAAUACGUGCCAGCAGCCGCGGUAAUACGUAUGUCUCAAGCGUUACCCGGAAUCACUGGGUGUAAAGGGUUCGUAGGCGGUUUAAUAAGUUGAAUAUGAAAGACCGGAGCUCAACUUCGCGUUUGUAAUCAAAACUGUUAAACUAGAAUUAGGGAGAGGUAAGCGGAAUUCUGUGUGUAGGGGUGCAAUCCGUAGAUACACAGAGGAAC
This 646-nucleotide ribosomal RNA is filed under the name uncultured bacterium. RNAcentral describes it as "bacterial SSU rRNA". It matches the Rfam family "Bacterial small subunit ribosomal RNA", at positions 43 to 707 of the family's 1533-position model. The record is from RNAcentral.